RNAcentral lists this ribosomal RNA (658 nucleotides) under uncultured Azospirillum sp. RNAcentral describes it as "bacterial SSU rRNA". It matches the Rfam family "Bacterial small subunit ribosomal RNA", at positions 8 to 713 of the family's 1533-position model. The record is from RNAcentral. Lineage: Bacteria; Pseudomonadati; Pseudomonadota; Alphaproteobacteria; Rhodospirillales; Azospirillaceae.
AGAGUUUGAUCAUGGCUCAGAACGAACGCUGGCGGCAUGCCUAACACAUGCAAGUCGAACGAAGGCUUCGGCCUUAGUGGCGCACGGGUGAGUAACACGUGGGAACCUGCCUUUCGGUUCGGAAUAACGUCUGGAAACGGACGCUAACACCGGAUACGUCCUUCGGGAGAAAGUUUACGCCAAGAGAGGGGCCCGCGUCGGAUUAGGUAGUUGGUGUGGUAACGGCGCACCAAGCCGACGAUCCGUAGCUGGUCUGAGAGGAUGAUCAGCCACACUGGGACUGAGACACGGCCCAGACUCCUACGGGAGGCAGCAGUGGGGAAUAUUGGACAAUGGGCGCAAGCCUGAUCCAGCAAUGGCCGCGUGAGUGAUGAAGGCCUUAGGGUUGUAAAGCUCUUUCGCACGCGACGAUGAUGACGGUAGCGUGAGAAGAAGCCCCGGCUAACUUCGUGCCAGCAGCCGCGGUAAUACGAAGGGGGCUAGCGUUGUUCGGAAUUACUGGGCGUAAAGGGCGCGUAGGCGGCCUGUUUAGUCAGAAGUGAAAGCCCCGGGCUCAACCUGGGAAUAGCUUUUGAUACUGGCAGGCUUGAGUUCCGGAGAGGAUGGUGGAAUUCCCAGUGUAGAGGUGAAAUUCGUAGAUAUUGGGAAGAACACCGGU